RNAcentral lists this ribosomal RNA (504 nucleotides) under Triticum aestivum (bread wheat). RNAcentral's name for it is "partial small subunit ribosomal RNA". The record is from RNAcentral. Lineage: Eukaryota; Viridiplantae; Streptophyta; Magnoliopsida; Poales; Poaceae.
AUGGGGACACCGAGGCGAGAAAUUAUGUUUGACACAAUUGACAUAAGCAACAUUGCAUGCCGGGAUAGGGCUGGAGAGCGCGACACUAAUAUCGAAUACACCAUGAAACUGUUUGCCGAUAUGCAGAGGCAGAGGCCGGGAUUCCACCACGUGGAAGAGACAGAGAACAAUGUAGUGCGGAGCCUGUUCUGUACAGACUCCUUGUGCAAGAUGAAUUAUGAGCUAUAUGGAGAUUUCGUGUCUUUUGACACGACAUUCUCUAUGAAUAUAUAUGGCUUGCCAUUUGCACCAAUUAUAGGUGUCGACAACCAUGGGUCGACCGUCCUGUUUGGACUAGGCCUUUUGAAGGAUGAGAAGAUAGGGUCAUUCAAGUGGCUCCUAAGCACGUUUUUCGAGGUAAUGGGAGGUAAGGAGCCGAAAUACAUAAUAACAGACCAGGACCAGGCGAUGAAGACUGCAAUAAAGGAAGCUCUUCUGAGAACAAGACACAGGUUCUGCUGGUAG